This 1396-nucleotide ribosomal RNA is filed under the name uncultured bacterium. Its description in RNAcentral is "bacterial SSU rRNA". It matches the Rfam family "Bacterial small subunit ribosomal RNA". The record is from RNAcentral.
AGAGUUUGAUCCUGGCUCAGGAUGAACUCUGGCGGCGUGCUUAACACAUGCAAGUCGAGCGAAGCACCUUGACGGAUUUCUUCGGAUUGAAGCCUUGGUGACUGAGCGGCGGACGGGUGAGUAACGCGUGGGUAACCUGCCUCAUACAGGGGGAUAACAGUUGGAAACGGCUGCCAAUACCGCAUAAGCGCACAGUACCGCAUGGUACGGUGUGAAAAACUCCGGUGGUAUGAGAUGGACCCGCGUCUGAUUAGGUAGUUGGUGGGGUAACGGCCUACCAAGCCGACGAUCAGUAGCCGACCUGAGAGGGUGACCGGCCACAUUGGGACUGAGACACGGCCCAAACUCCUACGGGAGGCAGCAGUGGGGAAUAUUGCACAAUGGGGGAAACCCUGAUGCAGCGACGCCGCGUGAGCGAUGAAGUAUUUCGGUAUGUAAAGCUCUAUCAGCAGGGAAGAAAAUGACGGUACCUGACUAAGAAGCCCCGGCUAACUACGUGCCAGCAGCCGCGGUAAUACGUAGGGGGCAAGCGUUAUCCGGAUUUACUGGGUGUAAAGGGAGCGUAGACGGCAUGGCAAGCCAGAUGUGAAAACUCCGGGGCUACAACCCUCGGGACUGCAUUUGGAACUGUCAGGCUAGAGUGUCGGAGAGGAAAGCGGAAUUCCUAGUGUAGCGGUGAAAUGCGUAGAUAUUAGGAGGAACACCAGUGGCGAAGGCGGCUUUCUGGACGAUGACUGACGUUGAGGCUCGAAAGCGUGGGGAGCAAACAAGAUUAGAUACCCUCGUAGUCCACGCCCUAAACGAUCAAUAAUAGGUGUCGGGUGGCAAAGCCAUUCGGUGCCGCAGCAAACGCAAUAAGUAUUCCACCUGGGGGAGUACGUUCGCAAGAAAUGAAACUCAAAGGAAUUUGACGGGGACCCGCACAAGCGGUGGAGCAUGUGGUUUAAUUCGAAGCAACGCGAAGAACCUUACCUGGUCUUGACAUCCCUCUGACCGCUCUUUAAUCGGAGCUUUCCUUCGGGACAGAGGAGACAGGUGGUGCAUGGUUGUCGUCAGCUCGUGUCGUGAGAUGUUGGGUUAAGUCCCGCAACGAGCGCAACCCCUAUCUUUAGUAGCCAGCAUUUUGGAUGGGCACUCUAGAGAGACUGCCAGGGAUAACCUGGAGGAAGGUGGGGAUGACGUCAAAUCAUCAUGCCCCUUAUGACCAGGGCUACACACGUGCUACAAUGGCGUAAACAAAGGGAAGCGAGCCCGCGAGGGGGAGCAAAUCCCAAAAAUAACGUCUCAGUUCGGAUUGUAGUCUGCAACUCGACUACAUGAAGCUGGAAUCGCUAGUAAUCGCGAAUCAGAAUGUCGCGGUGAAUACGUUCCCGGGUCUUGCACACACCGCCCGUCA